AACGCACCUUGCGCUCCCGGCAGAUCUAAUCUGGGGAGCAUGCCUGUUUGAGGGCCGCGAAUUGUUUCGAACGACAACUUUUUUUCUUUUCUUUUUUUGAAGAGUUGGCGGAUCGGUAUUGAGGGUUUUGCCAUUCACCGUGGCUCCCUCGAAAUGCAUUAGCGCAUCCAUUUGAUAGGCAAGACGGACGAAAGCUCGAUUUUCGCUCUCUCUUCCCUGCCGGGUUUUGAUAAUAUCAGGACUUCGGAGAGGUUGAGAUGGGUAAGAGCUGGACGCAACGGCUUGCUGUUUGGAGUGCUUCUGAAACCCGCCCAUAUCGAGCUUUGCCUCGGAAGGGAUUUUAAUAAUUCAUCGGCCUCAGAUUGGUAGGACUACCCGCUGAACUUAA
RNAcentral lists this unclassified non-coding RNA (388 nucleotides) under uncultured Ustilago. RNAcentral's name for it is "sequence contains ITS2". The record is from RNAcentral. Lineage: Eukaryota; Fungi; Basidiomycota; Ustilaginomycetes; Ustilaginales; Ustilaginaceae.